This 460-nucleotide ribosomal RNA is filed under the name uncultured bacterium. RNAcentral's name for it is "partial 16S ribosomal RNA". It matches the Rfam family "Bacterial small subunit ribosomal RNA", at positions 338 to 795 of the family's 1533-position model. The record is from RNAcentral.
CCUACGGGAGGCUGCAGUGAGGAAUAUUGGUCAAUGGGCGCGAGCCUGAACCAGCCAAGUAGCGUGAAGGAUGACUGCCCUACGGGUUGUAAACUUCUUUUAUAAAGGAAUAAAGUGAGGCACGUGUGCCUUUUUGUAUGUACUUUAUGAAUAAGGAUCGGCUAACUCCGUGCCAGCAGCCGCGGUAAUACGGAGGAUCCGAGCGUUAUACGGAUUUAUUGGGUUUAAAGGGAGCGUAGAUGGGGUGUUAAGUCAGUUGUGAAAGUCUGCGGCUCAAACGUAAAAUUGCAAUUGAUACUGGUAGUCUUGAGUACAGGUGAGGUAGGCGGAAUUCGUGGUGUAGCGGUGAAAUGCUUAGAUAUCACGAAGAACUCCGAUUGCGAAGGCAGCUUACUAAACUGCAACUGACAUUGAUGCUCGAAAGUGUGGGUAUCAAACAGGAUUAGAUACCCGAGUAGUC